GACGAACGCUGGCGGCGUGCUUAACACAUGCAAGUCGAACGGAAAGGCCCUGCUUUUGUGGGGUGCUCGAGUGGCGAACGGGUGAGUAACACGUGAGUAACCUGCCCUUGGCUUUGGGAUAACUUCAGGAAACUGGGGCUAAUACCGGAUAGGAGCUCCUGCUGCAUGGUGGGGGUUGGAAAGUUUCGGCGGUUGGGGAUGGACUCGCGGCUUAUCAGCUUGUUGGUGGGGUAGUGGCUUACCAAGGCUUUGACGGGUAGCCGGCCUGAGAGGGUGACCGGCAAAAUGGGGACUGAGAUACGGCCCAGACUCCUACGGGAGGCAGAAGUGGGGAAUAUUGCAAAAUGGGCGGAAGCCUGAUGCAGAAACGCCGCGGGCGGGAUGACGGCCUUCGGGUUGUAAACCGCUUUCGCCUGUGACGAAGCGUGAGUGACGGUAAUGGGUAAAGAAGAACCGGCUAACUACGUG
RNAcentral lists this ribosomal RNA (468 nucleotides) under uncultured bacterium. RNAcentral's name for it is "partial 16S ribosomal RNA". It matches the Rfam family "Bacterial small subunit ribosomal RNA", at positions 28 to 507 of the family's 1533-position model. The record is from RNAcentral.